Molecule: ribosomal RNA, 254 nt
Filed under: uncultured bacterium
Lineage: Bacteria
Description: partial 16S ribosomal RNA
Rfam family: Bacterial small subunit ribosomal RNA
Source: RNAcentral
UACAGAGGGGGCAAGCGUUGUUCGGAAUUACUGGGCGUAAAGGGCGCGUAGGCGGCGCGGUAAGUCACUUGUGAAAUCUCUGAGCUUAACUCAGAACGGCCAAGUGAUACUGCAGUGCUAGAGUGUGGAAGGGGCAAUCGGAAUUCUUGGUGUAGCGGUGAAAUGCGUAGAUAUCAAGAGGAACACCUGAGGUGAAGACGGGUUGCUGGGCCAACACGUGACGCUGAUGCGCGAAAGCCAGGGGAGCAAACGGG